This is a long non-coding RNA of Parambassis ranga (Indian glassy fish), 252 nucleotides long. The record is from Ensembl. NCBI's taxonomy places the organism in Eukaryota, Metazoa, Chordata, Actinopteri, Ambassidae.
AUGACAGCAGCUGCUGGAGUAGACCCUAAAUCAGGAGCUACUGCUUUGGAAUCCUCUGAAGAGGAGGAGAUUCUGAACAUAAUGAGUCACUCACAGCGUGGACGGAUUGAGGAACAGUGUUGCACUUUAAGUCCUGUUAAAACAGCACAAAUCAAAACUACAGACAAUGAGAAGGUCAUCCAUAACUCAGACCACAACCUGCGUGUGUCAUUGCCUGGGUUUAACUAUCAGGUAGUAUAUUGGAGAUUAUGA